This 488-nucleotide ribosomal RNA is filed under the name uncultured bacterium. Its description in RNAcentral is "bacterial SSU rRNA". It matches the Rfam family "Bacterial small subunit ribosomal RNA", at positions 30 to 511 of the family's 1533-position model. The record is from RNAcentral.
AUUGAACGCUGGCGGCAUGCCUUACACAUGCAAGUCGAACGGCAGCACGGGAGCAAUCCUGGUGGCGAGUGGCGAACGGGUGAGUAAUAUAUCGGAACGUGCCCAGUCGUGGGGAUAACGUAGCGAAAGUUACGCUAAUACCGCAUACGAUCUAAGGAUGAAAGCGGGGGACUCGCAAGAGCCUCGCGCGAUUGGAGCGGCCGAUAUCAGAUUAGGUAGUUGGUGGGGUAAAGGCUCACCAAGCCAACGAUCUGUAGCUGGUCUGAGAGGACGACCAGCCACACUGGAACUGAGACACGGUCCAGACUCCUACGGGAGGCAGCAGUGGGGAAUUUUGGACAAUGGACGCAAGUCUGAUCCAGCCAUUCCGCGUGCAGGAUGAAGGCCCUCGGGUUGUAAACUGCUUUUGUACGGAACGAAAGGUUUCUCUUAAUACGAGGAGCUCAUGACGGUACCGUAAGAAUAAGCACCGGCUAACUACGUGCCAG